UACGUAGGGUGCAAGCGUUAUCCGGAAUUAUUGGGCGUAAAGAGCUCGUAGGCGGUUUGUCGCGUCUGCUGUGAAAACUGGAGGCUCAACCUCCAGCCUGCAGUGGGUACGGGCAGACUAGAGUGCGGUAGGGGAGAUUGGAAUUCCUGGUGUAGCGGUGGAAUGCGCAGAUAUCAGGAGGAACACCAGUGGCGAAGGCGGUUGCCUGGAGCUUUGCUGACGCUGAGGCGCGAAAGCGUGGGGAGCGAUCCGG
RNAcentral lists this ribosomal RNA (253 nucleotides) under uncultured bacterium. RNAcentral describes it as "partial 16S ribosomal RNA". It matches the Rfam family "Bacterial small subunit ribosomal RNA", at positions 524 to 776 of the family's 1533-position model. The record is from RNAcentral.